GCACGGGUGCGUAACGCGUGAUGCAAUCUACCUUUCACAGAGGGAUAGCCCAGAGAAAUUUGGAUUAAUACCUCAUAGUAUUAUUUGGUGGCAUCACUUAAUAAUUAAAGUCACAACGGUGAAAGAUGAGCAUGCGUCCCAUUAGCUAGUUGGUAAGGUAACGGCUUACCAAGGCUACGAUGGGUAGGGGUCCUGAGAGGGAGAUCCCCCACACUGGUACUGAGACACGGACCAGACUCAUACGGGAGGCAGCAGUGAGGAAUAUUGGACAAUGGGCGCAAGCCUGAUCCAGCCAUGCCGCGUGCAGGAUGACGGUCCUAUGGAUUGUAAACUGCUUUUGUACGAGAAGAAACACUCCAACGUGUUGGAGCUUGACGGUAUCGUAAGAAUAAGGAUCGGCUAACUCCGUGCCAGCAGCCGCGGUAAUACGGAGGAUCCAAGCGUUAUCCGGAAUCAUUGGGUUUAAAGGGUCCGUAGGCGGUUUAGUAAGUCAGUGGUGAAAGCCCAUCGCUCAACGGUGGAACGGCCAUUGAUACUGCUGAACUUGAAUUAUUAGGAAGUAACUAGAAUAUGUAGUGUAGCGGUGAAAUGCUUAGAGAUUACAUGGAAUACCAAUUGCGAAGGCAGGUUACUACUAAUGGAUUGACGCUGAUGGACGAAAGCGUGGGUAGCGAACAGGAUUAGAUACCCUGGUAGUCCACGCCGUAAACGAUGGAUACUAGCUGUUGGAAGCAAUUUCAGUGGCUAAGCGAAAGUGAUAAGUAUCCCACCUGGGGGAGUACGUUCGCAAGAAUGAAACUCAAAGGAAUUGACGGGGGCCCGCACAAGCGGUGGAGCAUGUGGUUUAAUUCGAUGAUACGCGAGGAACCUUACCAAGGCUUAAAUGUA
RNAcentral lists this ribosomal RNA (888 nucleotides) under Flavobacterium chilense. RNAcentral describes it as "bacterial SSU rRNA". It matches the Rfam family "Bacterial small subunit ribosomal RNA", at positions 100 to 989 of the family's 1533-position model. The record is from RNAcentral. Lineage: Bacteria; Pseudomonadati; Bacteroidota; Flavobacteriia; Flavobacteriales; Flavobacteriaceae.